AACGAACGCUGGCGGCAUGCCUAACACAUGCAAGUCGAACGAGACCUUCGGGAGUAGUUGCGCACGGGUGCGUAACGCGGGGGAACCUGCCCUUAGGUUCGGAAUAACUCCCCGAAGGGGGUGCUAAUACAGGAUAAUGUCUGCUGACCAAACAUUUAUCGCUUUUGUAUGAGCCGGCGUUGGUUUAGCUAGUUGGUAGUGUAAGAGCCUAUCAAGGCGACGAUCCAUAGCUGGUCUGAGAGGAUGAUCAGCGACACUGGGACUGAGACACGGCGCAGAAUCUUACGGGAGGCAGCAGUGCGUAAUAUUGCACAAUGGGCUAAAGCCUGAUCCAGUACUGCUGCGUGAGUGAUGAAGGCCUUAGGGUUGUACAGCUCUUUUACCCGGGAUGAUAAUGACAGUACCGGGAGAAUAAGCUCCGGCUAACUUCGUG
RNAcentral lists this ribosomal RNA (433 nucleotides) under uncultured bacterium. RNAcentral describes it as "partial 16S ribosomal RNA". It matches the Rfam family "Bacterial small subunit ribosomal RNA", at positions 29 to 507 of the family's 1533-position model. The record is from RNAcentral.